Molecule: ribosomal RNA, 482 nt
Filed under: uncultured bacterium
Lineage: Bacteria
Description: partial 16S ribosomal RNA
Rfam family: Bacterial small subunit ribosomal RNA
Source: RNAcentral
AUUGAACGCUGGCGGCAUGCUUUACACAUGCAAGUCGAACGGUAACAGGCCGCAAGGUGCUGACGAGUGGCGAACGGGUGAGUAAUGCAUCGGAACGUGCCCAGUCGUUGGGGAUAACUACUCGAAAGAGUAGCUAAUACCGCAUACGAUCUAUGGAUGAAAGCGGGGGACCGUAAGGCCUCGCGAGAUUGGAGCGGCCGCUGUCAGAUUAGGUAGUUGGUGAGGUAACGGCUCACCAAGCCAACGAUCUGUAGCUGGUCUGAGAGGAAGACCAGCCACACUGGGACUGAGACACGGCCCAGACUCCUACGGGAGGCAGCAGUGGGAAAUUUUGGACAAUGGGCGCAAGCCUGAUCCAGCAAUGCCGCGUGCAGGAAGAAGGCCUUCGGGUUGUAAACUGCUUUUGUACGGAACGAAACGGCUCUUGUUAAUACCCGGGGCUAAUGACGGUACCGUAAGAAUAAGCACCGGCUAACUACGUG